Cygnus atratus (black swan) is the source of this 181-nucleotide long non-coding RNA. RefSeq lists it as uncharacterized. The record is from RefSeq and is a predicted model, not a curated record. Lineage: Eukaryota; Metazoa; Chordata; Aves; Anseriformes; Anatidae. The transcript has 3 exons.
AGGUGGUGUGGGUGAUACCGGCUGUACUGUUGGAGCUUGGACUCAGAGAGGAAUGGUAGAGGGUAAACCUUAGGAGGAACCGGUCACAGGAAAGAGCUCCUUCUGGAACUGUCAAGCACUCGCUGAAACGCAGUGUACAACACGGGACUUCACGACCAGAGCUCCUUUUGGCAAGGUGAGU